CCCUUGUGUAUAUUAUAUUGUUGCUUUAGCAGGUCGCCCUCUGGGGCGUCGGCCUCGGCUGACUGUGCCUGCUAGAGGACCCUAAACUUUGAAAUACAGUGUCGUCUGAGUACUAUUUAAUAGUUAAAACUUUCAACAACGGAUCUCUUGGUUCUGGCAUCGAUGAAGAACGCACCGAAAUGCGAUAAGUAAUGUGAAUUGCAGAAUUCAGUGAAUCAUCGAAUCUUUGAACGCACAUUGCGCCCCUUGGUAUUCCGGGGGGCAUGCCUGUUCGAGCGUCAUUUAGACCAACUCCCGCUCCGGCGGGGUCUUGGGCUGCGCCUUUGGGCGGGCCUUAAAACCAGUGGCGGUGCCCUAAGGCUCUACGCGUAGUAAUUCUUCUCGCGAUAGGGUCCUUGCGGUG
This 403-nucleotide unclassified non-coding RNA is filed under the name Hymenoscyphus fraxineus. RNAcentral describes it as "partial contains 18S rRNA, ITS1, 5.8S rRNA, ITS2, 28S rRNA". The stretch from base 128 to 281 matches the Rfam family "5.8S ribosomal RNA". The record is from RNAcentral. Lineage: Eukaryota; Fungi; Ascomycota; Leotiomycetes; Helotiales; Helotiaceae.